This 380-nucleotide ribosomal RNA is filed under the name uncultured eukaryote. RNAcentral's name for it is "partial 18S ribosomal RNA". It matches the Rfam family "Eukaryotic small subunit ribosomal RNA", at positions 592 to 976 of the family's 1831-position model. The record is from RNAcentral.
CAAUAGCGUAUAUUAAAGUUGUUGCAGUUAAAAAGCUCGUAGUUGGAUUUGUGGCGUACGGUGUGUUCCGGGCACUUGUUGUCUGAGUAACCUGCUGUUGCCAUCCUUGGGUGGAACCUGUGUGGCAUUAGGUUGUCGUGCAGGGGAUGCCCAUCAUUUACUGUGAAAAAAUUAGAGUGUUCAAAGCAGGCUUAUGCCGUUGAAUAUAUUAGCAUGGAAUAAUAAGAUAGGACUUUUUUGCUAUUUUGUUGGUUUGCGCAAAGAGGUAAUGAAUAAUAGGGACAGUUGGGGGUAUUCGUAUUCCAUAGUCAGAGGUGAAAUUCUUGGAUUUUUGGAAGACGAACUACUGCGAAAGCAUUUACCAAGGAUGUUUUCAUUAA